RNAcentral lists this ribosomal RNA (440 nucleotides) under uncultured Anaerolineaceae bacterium. RNAcentral describes it as "bacterial SSU rRNA". It matches the Rfam family "Bacterial small subunit ribosomal RNA", at positions 338 to 795 of the family's 1533-position model. Lineage: Bacteria; Bacillati; Chloroflexota; Anaerolineae; Anaerolineales; Anaerolineaceae. The record is from RNAcentral.
CCUACGGGGGGCUGCAGUAGGGAAUAUUGGUAAUCUGGGAAACCGGGAACCAGCAACGCCGCGUGCGCGAUGACGGCCUUCGGGUUGUAAAGCGCUUUUUAAAGGGAUGAGGAAGGACAGUACCUUUAGAAUAAGCCUCGGCUAACUACGUGCCAGCAGCCGCGGUAAAACGUAGGAGGCGAGCGUUAUCCGGAUUUACUGGGCGUAAAGCGUGUGUAGGCGGUUUGAUAAGUUGGAUGUGAAAGCUCCCGGCUUAACUGGGAGAGGUCGUUCAAAACUGUCAGACUUGAGAGUGGUAGAGGGAGAUGGAAUUCCGCGUGUAGUGGUGAAAUGCGUAGAUAUGCGGAGGAACACCAGUGGCGAAAGCGGUCUCCUGGCCCACUUCUGACGCUCAGACACGAAAGCUAAGGUAGCAAACGGGAUUAGAUACCCCAGUAGUC